Molecule: unclassified non-coding RNA, 432 nt
Filed under: soil metagenome
Description: partial contains 5.8S ribosomal RNA, internal transcribed spacer 2, and large subunit ribosomal RNA
Rfam family: 5.8S ribosomal RNA (bases 1-120)
Source: RNAcentral
GAUGAAGAACGCAGCGAAAUGCGAUACGUAAUGUGAAUUGCAGAAUUCAGUGAAUCAUCGAAUCUUUGAACGCAUAUUGCGCUCUCUGGUAUUCCGGAGAGCAUGCUUGUUUGAGUAUCAGUAAACACCUCAACUUCCAUAUCUUUUUUGAAAUGGGAGUUGGACUUGAGUGAUCCCAACGCUUUUCCUCACCGAAAAGUGGCGGGUUACUUGAAAUGCAGGUGCAGCUGGACUUUUCUCUGAGCUAUAAGCAUAUCUAUUUAGUCUGCCUAAAAAACAGAUUAUUACCUUUGCUGCAGCCAACAUAAAGGAGAUUAGUUCUUGUGCUGACUGAUGCAGGAUUCACAAAGACGGCUUCGGCCGACUUUGUAAACUCGAUCUCAAAUCAAGUAAGACUACCCGCUGAACUUAAGCAUAUCAAUAAGCGGAGGA